This 433-nucleotide ribosomal RNA is filed under the name uncultured bacterium. Its description in RNAcentral is "partial 16S ribosomal RNA". It matches the Rfam family "Bacterial small subunit ribosomal RNA", at positions 29 to 507 of the family's 1533-position model. The record is from RNAcentral.
AACGAACGCUGGCGGCAUGCCUAACACAUGCAAGUCGAACGAGACCUUCGGGUCUAGUGGCGCACGGGUGCGUAACGCGUGGGAACCUGCCCUUAGGUUCGGAAUAACUCCCCGAAAGGGGUGCUAAUACCGGAUAAUGUCUUCGGACCAAAGAUUUAUCGCCCUUGGAUGGGCCCGCGUUGGAUUAGCUAGUUGGUAGGGUAAAAGCCUACCAAGGCGACGAUCCAUAGCUGGUCUGAGAGGGUGAUCAGCCACACUGGGACUGAGACACGGCCCAGACUCCUACGGGAGGCAGCAGUGGGGAAUAUUGGACAAUGGGCGAAAGCCUGAUCCAGCAAUGCCGCGUGAGUGAUGAAGGCCUUAGGGUUGUAAAGCUCUUUUACCCGGGAUGAUAAUGACAGUACCGGGAGAAUAAGCUCCGGCUAACUCCGUG